CCCUUAGAUGUUCUGGGCCGCACGCGCGCUACACUGACGAAUGCAACGAGCUUAUAACCUUGGCCGAAAGGUCUGGGUAAUCUCCAAAUUUCGUCGUGAUGGGGAUAGAUUAUUGCAAUUAUUAAUCUUCAACGAGGAAUGCCUAGUAAGCGCAAGUCAUCAGCUUGCGUUGAUUACGUCCCUGCCCUUUGUACACACCGCCCGUCGCUCCUACCGAUUGAAUGGUCCGGUGAAGCGUUCGGACCGUGGCCUUUGGACGGUUCGCCGUCUGUUGGCUGCGGGAAGUUCGUUAAACCUUAUCAUUUAGAGGGAGGAGAAGUCGUAACA
Molecule: ribosomal RNA, 327 nt
Filed under: uncultured eukaryote
Lineage: Eukaryota
Description: partial 18S ribosomal RNA
Rfam family: Eukaryotic small subunit ribosomal RNA
Source: RNAcentral